GACGAACGCUGGCGGCGUGCUUAACACAUGCAAGUCGAACGGAAAGGCCCUGCUUUUGUGGGGUGCUCGAGUGGCGAACGGGUGAGUAACACGUGAGUAACCUGCCCUUGACUUUGGGAUAACUUCAGGAAACUGGGGCUAAUACCGGAUAGGAGCUCCUGCUGCAUGGUGGGGGUUGGAAAGUUUCGGCGGUUGGGGAUGGACUCGCGGCUUAUCAGCUUGUUGGUGGGGUAGUGGCUUACCAAGGCUUUGACGGGUAGCCUGCCUGAGAGGGUGACCGGCCACAUGGGGACUGGGAUACGGCCCAGACCCCUACGGGGGGCAGCGGGGGGGAAUAUUGCCCAAGGGGGGGAAGCCGGAUGCAGCACCGCCGCGUGGGGGAUGAGGGCCUUGGGGUUGUAACCCGCUUUCGCCUGUGACGAAGCGUGGGUGACGGUAAUGGGUAAAGAAGCACCGGCUAACUACGU
RNAcentral lists this ribosomal RNA (467 nucleotides) under uncultured bacterium. Its description in RNAcentral is "partial 16S ribosomal RNA". It matches the Rfam family "Bacterial small subunit ribosomal RNA", at positions 28 to 506 of the family's 1533-position model. The record is from RNAcentral.